UUCCGGUUGAUCCUGCCGGAGGCUACCGCUAUUGGAGUUCGAUUAAGCCAUGCGAGUCGCGAGAAAUUAGAUUCUCGGCGUACCGCUCAGUAACACGUGGGUAACCUGCCCUAUGCUGGAUAAUAACCUCGGGAAACUGAGAAUAAUGAUCCAUAGUUCACUACGCCUGGAACGGUGAGUGGAUGAAAGCCCCGGCGGCAUAGGAUGGGCCUGCGGCGUAUCAGGUUGUAGGGGGUGUAACGUACCCUCUAGCCCUCUACGCGUACGGGUGUUGGGAGACAUAGCCCGGAGAUGGAUUCUGAGACACGAAUCCAGACCCUACGGGGUGCAGCAGGCGCGAAAACGUGGCAAUGCGAGAAAUCGUGACCAGGGAACUCCAAGUGCAUCGGGUAAGACCGGUGCUUUUCUUGACUCUAAAUAGGUCUUGGAAUAAGGGGUGGGUAAGGACGGUGCCAGCCGCCGCGGUAAUACCGGCGCCUCAAGUGGUAGUCGCUUUUAUUGGGCCUAAAACGUCCGUAGCCGGUCUGAUACAUUCGUGGGUAAAUCAACCAGCUCAACUGGUUGAAUUCUGCGAGGACGGUCAGACUUGGGACCGGGAGAGGUGUGGGGUACGCUCAGGGUAGGGGUAAAAUCCUGUCAUCCUGAGCGGACCACCUGUUGCGAAGGCGCCACACUAGAACGGAUCCGACGGUCAGGGACGAAGCCUAGGGGCACGAACCGGAUUAGAUACCCGGGUAGUCCUAGGUGUAAACGCUGUGGACUUGAUGUUGGGGGUGCUCCGAGCACUCUCAGUGUCGAAGCGAAGGUGAUAAGUCCACUGCCUGGGAAGUACGGUCGCAAGGCUGAAACUUAAAGGAAUUGGCGGGGGAGCACCGCAACCUGAGGAUUGUGCGGUUUAAUUGGAUUCAACGCCGGA
Molecule: ribosomal RNA, 916 nt
Filed under: uncultured archaeon
Lineage: Archaea
Description: bacterial SSU rRNA
Rfam family: Archaeal small subunit ribosomal RNA
Source: RNAcentral